Molecule: long non-coding RNA, 211 nt
Filed under: Mytilus galloprovincialis (Mediterranean mussel)
Lineage: Eukaryota; Metazoa; Mollusca; Bivalvia; Mytilida; Mytilidae
Source: RNAcentral
CGGUUUUUAAGUUCAGUUUUAAAUUUUUUAAUUGAUUCCACAUCAUGAGUUGAAUCAUCAAGAUUAUUUCAAGACGUAUGGUUGAUGGGAUAAAAAAAAUCAUUAGUUAAUGCUAGUCUGCAGAAUAGAAAAUGAGCUUGAUCGUGUUGAUAUACAUAUUAGUCAGAUAAAUGUCAUGCAACUUUGCAAGGGUAGCAGUUGUAAUACGGGC